ACCCAGAAUAUACUCGUAAGAAACCAUAGACAGGUCCAGUCUUGCUGUAAUACCCGAAAAAUUCAAGUUAAUUUCCGAUGACGUUUUGGAAAUGAUUUCGUGGUCGUGGACACGAGUACGAAGCUUAGAGGAGUGUGGAAUUAGUUCGAACGAUUUUAUUUUGAAAACUGAACGUUUUAGGGGGGUCAAAGGAGUUGACUUUUUAUACAUUGGGAAAUUGGGAAAACUUCCUUCAUGAAAGUUGUAGAGCGCGUCGAUACGAGUUCGUGGACAUAUGGAACGUAAUAUUCGGAGUUCGUAUGAAUAAGUUACGAAUAUUUGAAAAUUGGGAUUUUCUAUAAAUAUGAAAAAAAAUCCGAAUAUUGCAAAUGAGGACAGAAUUUCUGGAACUCCAGAAAUUUCUCCCCAUUUCUCUCCCGAGCCCAGCCGCGACCCCCUCCCUUCGUCACCUUCGUUCUUCCUCAUCCGGCCACCGAUUGAUGUGAAACAAAGUGGGUUUUUCUGGUCUCGACCCCCUUUACGAGUUUGUAGAAGAAAUCGAAGUGAAAUACGAGCUGUAUGAGGCUCUACAAGGUCGAGAAGAGAGCCUCGUCGGAGACGAAAUCGCUCUUCCCCACUUUUUCUGGGCUCUACUUUGUCUGGCCAUAUCUUCCUCUACAGGCCUCCGAUCGACCUGAUUCCAAAAGCAAUUUUUCUCACCGUGAAGUUUUCUACAACUUUCCAGAAGACAUCGACUUGAGAUAACCAUCGUGGUGGCCGCUAGAAGACCGAGAAGCCGCACAGCCGAGCUGGAAAUCGUCUUCCUUCGCCACCUUGGUUCUCCCAGCUCCGGCCACUAUAGCUCGAGUUCUUUGAGGGCUUUUCUAGCCCAGAGGAAGUAGAAGCUAUCCCCAAGAAGGCUUGCAGCGAUUUGAUCCGGGGUGAUCGAAUUUUGAAGAUUGGGAAACUAGGGUUCUUCGGGUUUCAAAACUUGCGAGGUGAUUGACGGUCUCCCUUGGGUGAACGAUUUCGGUGUGUAUUGUGUUGAAUUGAAGACGCAGCGGGAAUAUCGAGGUGAGUAAAUCGCACAUGGUUCAUUCACGAACCGAAAUUCGGUGAUUUUAUUUAAUUGAGAAAUUGUGGAAAUUGUUUUACUAAAAUAAAUAUUUGUUUUAAAUUAUAUGGACUUGAUCGACUACGGUCCAUAGGUAAGUAAAAUGUAUUUAAACUAUAAAAAUGAAUUUCUAGAUUUUAUUGCAUGUGAACUAUAGUUGGUAUUAGUGGUCACUCUUGUGUGGGUGACUACGUAUAUAUAUAUUUACGUGGAAUAUAUAUUGGAUGGUGUGAUUUACUGAGUUA
Rosa rugosa (rugosa rose) is the source of this 1338-nucleotide long non-coding RNA. RefSeq lists it as uncharacterized. NCBI's taxonomy places the organism in Eukaryota, Viridiplantae, Streptophyta, Magnoliopsida, Rosales, Rosaceae. The record is from RefSeq and is a predicted model, not a curated record. The transcript has 2 exons.